UACGGGGGGGGCAAGCGUUGUUCGGAAUUACUGGGCGUAAAGGGCUCGUAGGUGGCCAACUAAGUCAGACGUGAAAUCCCUCGGCUUAACCGGGGAACUGCGUCUGAUACUGGAUGGCUUGAGUUUGGGAGAGGGAUGCGGAAUUCCAGGUAUAGCGGUGAAAUGCGUAGAUAUCUGGAGGAACACCGGUGGCGAAGGCGGCAUCCUGGACCAACACUGACACUGAGGAGCGAAAGCCAGGGGAGCAAACGGG
RNAcentral lists this ribosomal RNA (253 nucleotides) under uncultured bacterium. RNAcentral's name for it is "partial 16S ribosomal RNA". It matches the Rfam family "Bacterial small subunit ribosomal RNA", at positions 524 to 776 of the family's 1533-position model. The record is from RNAcentral.